GGCAAGCUACAAAGGGCGUCUGGUGGAUGCCUUGGGGCAAAGUGCCGAUGAAGGACGCGAACAGCGGCGAUACGCCCGGGGGAGCGGCAACGACGCUACGAUCCCGGGAUUUCCGAAUGGGGCAACCUGGCCGCCGUAACGGGCGGUCACCGCAUGGUGAACACAUAGCCAUGCGGGGGGCACUCGGGGAACUGAAACAUCUCAGUACCCGAAGGAAAAGAAAGCAACCGCGAUUCCCCAAGUAGUGGCGAGCGAACGGGGAACAGCCUAAACCGCGUCGGCAUGCUGGCGCGGGGUCGUGGGGCCAGCCACAACACAUACCGAUCCUGGUUCCGAAGCGGCCUGGAACGGCCCACCAUAGCGGGUGAGAGUCCCGUAGGGGUCCGGGUUGGUGUGUGGGUUGGUACCCGAGUACCGCGGGGCACGGGAAACCUUGCGGGAAUCUGGGAGGACCACCUCCUAAGGCUAAAUACACUUUGCCACCGAUAGCGAAGCAGUACCGUGAGGGAAAGGUGAAAAGUCCCCCGGGAGGGGAGUGAAAUAGAACCUGAAACCAGAUCGCCUACAAACAGUCAGAGCCUGGGCGCAAGCCCGGGUGAUGGCGUGCCUUUUGCAGAAUGAACCGGCGAGUUGCUGUUGGUCGUAGGUUAAGCCUCUCAGA
This 661-nucleotide ribosomal RNA is filed under the name Armatimonadota bacterium. RNAcentral's name for it is "Armatimonadetes bacterium (hot springs metagenome) partial 23S ribosomal RNA". It matches the Rfam family "Bacterial large subunit ribosomal RNA", at positions 1 to 658 of the family's 2925-position model. The record is from RNAcentral. Lineage: Bacteria; Bacillati; Armatimonadota.